Molecule: transfer RNA, 84 nt
Filed under: Candidatus Woesebacteria bacterium
Lineage: Bacteria; Candidatus Woeseibacteriota
Also listed under: 1 other name
Description: tRNA-Leu
Rfam family: tRNA
About the family: Transfer RNA (tRNA) molecules are approximately 80 nucleotides in length. Their secondary structure includes four short double-helical elements and three loops (D, anti-codon, and T loops).
Source: RNAcentral
GCCGGAGUGGCGGAAUUGGCAGACGCGCACGGUUCAGAACCGUGUGAUAGCAAUAUCGUGGAGGUUCAAGUCCUCUCUUCGGCA